ACUUGGAGGAUGUAUAGCGAAAGCUAGUUGUAUUAACUUCGACUAGUUCGAAGUUUAUGCAAGAUCGACUAUGUCGAAUAAAGUUCUAGGUAGAGUUAUGAUAAUGACAUUUUCUAUCUAUAUGUCUUGACCAAGUCACGUGCCAGCAGUCGCGGUAAUACGUGGAAGACUAGUGUUAUUCAUCUUUAAUAGGUUUAAAGGGUACUUAGACGGUAAAUUUAGCCCAAAUAAAAAACAAAGGGUACUAAUAAUACUAGAGUUUUAUGCGAGGAGGAAGUGUAAUAGUGGUGGAGGGAUGAAAUUCUGUCAUACCAUUAUGACAGGCAACGGCGUAAGCAACCUUUAUGUAAAAACUGACGUUAAAGGACGAAGGCUUUGUGUCACCAACAGGAUUAGAUACCCAAGUAAUCUUAGCAGACAAUUAUGAAUGCCAUAGAUAAGAUAAGAUACGUUAUCUCAUCGUCCGCUACGGGAGACUGAGCGGACGAUGAAUAGAUAAAUAACAGUGUUAUUUUUCUUUUUUUUUAAUAACACCCAGGGUAAGCAAAAAAAAGAACCUUAUUGCCACAGGUAAGGUAAAGUAUCAAUAUAAUGUCUAUAAAUGAAAGUGUAAGCAUUCCACCUCAAGAGUAAUGUGGCAACGCACAAACUGAAAUCAUUAGACCGUUUCUGAAACCAGUAGUGAAGUAUGUUGUUUAAUUUGAUGGUCCGCACAAAACCUUACCACAAUUUGUAUGCUUUGGUCUAUACAGGAGUUGCACGGCUGUCUUCAGUUAAUGUCGUGAGAUUUUGGUUAGUUCCAUAAAAUUAACGUAAACCCUUACUUUAUUUAUAUUAUAAAGUAGUUCACCGCUAUAUUGGAUAUGAUAAUGGGGACUAAGACAAGUCAUCAUGGCCUGA
RNAcentral lists this ribosomal RNA (900 nucleotides) under Aspicilia aurantiaca. RNAcentral's name for it is "SSU rRNA". It matches the Rfam family "Bacterial small subunit ribosomal RNA", at positions 401 to 1203 of the family's 1533-position model. The record is from RNAcentral. Lineage: Eukaryota; Fungi; Ascomycota; Lecanoromycetes; Pertusariales; Megasporaceae.